RNAcentral lists this ribosomal RNA (429 nucleotides) under uncultured bacterium. RNAcentral describes it as "bacterial SSU rRNA". It matches the Rfam family "Bacterial small subunit ribosomal RNA", at positions 30 to 465 of the family's 1533-position model. The record is from RNAcentral.
AUUGAACGCUGGCGGCAUGCCUUACACAUGCAAGUCGAACGGCAGCACGGGAGCAAUCCUGGUGGCGAGUGGCGAACGGGUGAGUAAUAUAUCGGAACGUGCCCAGUCGUGGGGGAUAACGUAGCGAAAGCUACGCUAAUACCGCAUACGAUCUAUGGAUGAAAGCGGGGGAUCGCAAGACCUCGCGCGAUUGGAGCGGCCGAUAUCAGAUUAGGUUGUUGGUGGGGUAAAAGCCCACCAAGCCGACGAUCUGUAGCUGGUCUGAGAGGACGACCAGCCACACUGGGACUGAGACACGGCCCAGACUCCUACGGGAGGCAGCAGUGGGGAAUUUUGGACAAUGGGCGCAAGCCUGAUCCAGCCAUGCCGCGUGAGUGAAGAAGGCCUGGUGUAAGCUCUUCGUGGAGAAUGCUGUAUACUGAGUAGAUG